UUAGCUUUAGCGAUGGAUCGGUCGCUUCGUGCAUCGAUGAAGAACGCAGCUAGCUGCGUUAUAUACCACGAAUUGCAGACGCUCAGAGUGGUAAAAUUUCGAAUGCAUAGCGCCGUUGGGCCCGUCCCAACGGCACGUCUGGCUCAGGGUUGUA
Molecule: ribosomal RNA, 154 nt
Filed under: Caenorhabditis monodelphis
Lineage: Eukaryota; Metazoa; Nematoda; Chromadorea; Rhabditida; Rhabditidae
Description: 5.8S ribosomal RNA
Rfam family: 5.8S ribosomal RNA
About the family: 5.8S ribosomal RNA (5.8S rRNA) is a component of the large subunit of the eukaryotic ribosome. It is transcribed by RNA polymerase I as part of the 45S precursor that also contains 18S and 28S rRNA. Functionally, it is thought that 5.8S rRNA may be involved in ribosome translocation.
Source: RNAcentral